This is an RNA transcript of Papaver somniferum (opium poppy), 2755 nucleotides long. It is a transcript of the gene named translation initiation factor eIF-2B subunit alpha-like, with no coding region annotated. The transcript has 4 exons. NCBI's taxonomy places the organism in Eukaryota, Viridiplantae, Streptophyta, Magnoliopsida, Ranunculales, Papaveraceae. The record is from RefSeq and is a predicted model, not a curated record.
UCUAUCUCUUCUUCCCUGUUCUUUCUCUUCUUCUCUCUGUUGAUCUCGAUUUCGAGAUUUUGAGCGUGAAUUUGUGUGAGAAAUUUAUCUUAAGCUUGUUGUAUGUUGAACUGAGGGAGAAGGUGACGUUGCUGCUGCUGAUUGGAUUUUGGAAGAUAUAGAAAAUUAGAGUUUGAGAUAUGAAUGAGCUAGGGUUUCGUUUGAGUAUCAAAGAAGAAUUAGAAGAUGUUGAUGAAGAAGAUGAUGAUUGCGAAAAUAGAACAUGGGUUUGUUAUUAAUUGAAGAACUAGCUGUUGAAUUAGGGUCUCUCAGAUGAUUAUUUGGAAGUUUGAUUAGAGGCGAAUAAGAUGAAAUUGGAUAUAGGUUUAGCCUGAAUUAGAGUUUGAAAUUAAAGAAUAGAUUGAAAUUAGUAGUUAGGGUUCGGUUCUGUUUUAAUGAAGAUUUGAGAAUUGAGUUAGGUUUUGAUUGAGAACUGCUAGUAAUGAAGAUUAAGGCUGCUGUUAGUUCGAGAUGGGUUGUUGAGUUCAGUUAACGGAAGAAGAAAUUGAUUUCCAAUUGCGUGACAGAGAAUUUAGUUGAGGUAAUGUUCUUCUCAUUUACUUGAGCAGAGUUAUUCAUAUCCAGUUUUGAGUAUUUGAUGGUUAAUGAAAAUUGAAGUUGUAUUUUAAGUUUGUAUUUGAUUUGCAAGGUAUAUGUGUGUGCUAUAUGAGAUAAAAUGGAGUUAUUAUUGAUCUGAGUUACAUGUGGUGUAUGAGUUUAAGAAAAGAAGAGAAUUUGUGUCUGAGAUUUGGUGGAUACUGAAUUGAGUAUCUAGUGGUGGAUUUCUGAGUUUUAGUUGAAGUUAACUCAACUGAAGCGAUGAAUAUUGAUGUUUGUAGGUCAAACUGUAAAUUGUAUGUUUAGAGAUGAAUAUUGAUGUUACAGGUGAUGCUGCUUUUAGAAAUAGGUGAGGUUGUUGUUGCAGGAAAGGUGUUCGUGGAAUAUUGUAUUGGUGUUUGUUGAGCUGAGGUGUAGAGUUACUUGAAGUUGGAUAUGAGGUGGUUGUGAUUUUGGUGGAGAAGCUGAGUAGAGUUAUGGGUGAAGGUGGUGAUUACGGAAGUAAAGUUGUUGCAGAAUAUUUGGUUGAGAUAGAGCUGAGCAUUGAGUUGUUGCUGGUGGUGUUGAGUUGGGAAAGUUGGGUAUGGAUUCUAAUAGUGUGAUUGCUGGUGAUGCUGGAGUGGUUAAGAAUGGAUAUGGUGAUGUUGUUUUGGUGAAUUCAGAGCGUAGAUUGUAGUUGCUGUCAAAGCUGCAAUGGCAGUUAGUUAUUAACAACGAUCGAUUCAAAGGAUGAACCAGUGGAUCUCGAGGUAGGCGUGGCUUGUCAUCAAAAGAGAGGGAAGACCCGACGGAAAAGGCUUGCGGUUCUUAAAUGAGCGGGCGAAACUGGAUGUUCCUGUAAAGCUUCUUAUUGGCUCUAUAGUGGCAUACAUCAUGGAUGAGGUAGGCAUGGUAUAUGAGGUAGGCAUGGUAUUUGUUGGGACUGAUGGAGAGGUAGAAAAUGACAACAUGACGGGAACAUACCAAAUUCCAUUGGUGGCUCACAGAAUGAACAAGCCAGUGUAUGUUGUUGUUGAAAGUUACAAGUUUGCACGUCUCUAUCCUUUGGACCAGAAAGAUCUCACCCCUGCUUUACUCGAUCCCCAUUGAUUUUGGGUUCCCAUUCUUAUCUGGGAUGGAAGUCGCGCAGGUACACCAUCUUUGUAACAAAUAUCAACGAAAACAUCACGAACGAUAUCAUGUCGAAACUUAGGACCUACAUCUUUAGCACAAUGAAGCACAGGAUCCCCAAAGAUGUCCAUGGAUUUGUUGCAACUUGGGCAUAAGCCAUUCUCAACAAACAGUGGGAUACCGAGGCGAUAACAAAACACAGCUCUGAAUUGUCUAGGUCCAACGAACUGAUUAAGCCCACUAAUGGGUAUGGCCAAUAAAUAGUCUUGUGCAUGCUUGACAUGAUUGCACUUCCACAAAAUAGAAUCUCCUACAGACAUAGAAAACUGGUAGGGGAUUUGCUUCUUAACUGCAUCAAAGUAAGUGACUGCCAAGGAAUGCAGAGAAGGGGGGGAAGUAACGUCGACACAGUAAGUGGAAGGUAGUCCACAUACCUGAAUAAAAUUCUGAAGAGAAAAUUGAUAAGAAGGACCCUUGUCUAUUGAGAAUGAAUCACCAAGAAACACCUUCUGCACCGAAGUAGUCUGACUCUGAGAAGCGAGAUAACAAUAUGUACCGGUAUCAGCCAUGGUGUAAAUGCCGAGUCCACCAUACUUGAUAGGCAAGGUAGCUAAUCGUUGUUGUAAAGGACCAAACCCCGCACCAUCGCCAGUAAUUAGAAGUCUCAAGUACUUAAGUAAAUGAUCAUCGAAAAGGGCAGUGGCUGAUUGCAAGGCUUCAGGAUUGGUAGUAUGCAUUACAAAAUAUAAUCUCGAAACGCCAGUGCAAUUGCGAAGUAAUAACAUCUCACUUUGGGGGUCUUUGAGUAUUUUGAUUGCCGCCAUUAGUUGAACAGUGUUAUUAUUCACCCUGCUCAACAACAUAUCGCUAAUAAAGUUCAUAUCCAAACUCACUGGUCCACCCAAAAUUUUAAUGCCAUUAGAAGGUCUACCAAUAUCAGCAGGAAAAACACCAUCAGCUAUACUUCUGGGAUCAAUAGAAGGACAAAAAACUUUUGUAUUCUUUAUAUUAAGAUGUAAACCCCUGCACGGUCCUUUUAUUUCGACUA